This 23-nucleotide non-coding RNA is filed under the name Cricetulus griseus (Chinese hamster). Lineage: Eukaryota; Metazoa; Chordata; Mammalia; Rodentia; Cricetidae. The record is from RNAcentral.
CAGAAGUAGCUUUGGCCAGGAAU